AUUGAACGCUGGCGGAAUGCUUUACACAUGCAAGUCGAACGGCAGCACGGACUUCGGUCUGGUGGCGAGUGGCGAACGGGUGAGUAAUGUAUCGGAACGUGCCCAGUCGUGGGGGAUAACGUAGUGAAAAUUACGCUAAUACCGCAUACGAUCUAUGGAUGAAAGCGGGGGAUCGCAAGACCUCGCGCGAUUGGAGCGGCCGAUAUCAGAUUAGGUAGUUGGUGGGGUAAAGGCCCACCAAGCCAACGAUCUGUAGCUGGUCUGAGAGGACGACCAACCACACUGGAACUGGGACACGGUCCAGACUCCUACGGGAGGCAGCAGUGGGGAAUUUUGGACAAUGGGCGAAAGCCUGAUUCAGCCAUUCCGCGUGCAGGAUGAAGGCCCUCGGGUUGUAAACUGCUUUUGUACAGAACGAAAAGGUUUCUACUAAUACUAGGAGCUCAUGACGGUACUGUAAGAAUAAGCACCGGCUAACUACGUGCCAGCCGCCGCGGUAA
RNAcentral lists this ribosomal RNA (500 nucleotides) under uncultured bacterium. Its description in RNAcentral is "partial 16S ribosomal RNA". It matches the Rfam family "Bacterial small subunit ribosomal RNA", at positions 30 to 523 of the family's 1533-position model. The record is from RNAcentral.